Non-coding RNA from Camellia sinensis, 1041 nucleotides. The record is from RefSeq and is a predicted model, not a curated record. NCBI's taxonomy places the organism in Eukaryota, Viridiplantae, Streptophyta, Magnoliopsida, Ericales, Theaceae.
UGGUCCUUUAAAUCUUGCAUCAGAAACUUCAAUCUUUUAAUUCAUAUCAUCAUGUUUCCAUUCCAGAAAAUUUCUGCUGAACUGUGCAUGUACUGAAUCUUCUAGUAUGGCUUACCUUUUAUUGUGCAUUUGCAUGCUUUGGCCUAUAUUUCAAUUAUUUCAUUCUGUAUUCUACAGGUCUCUGUCUUUCAAAAUUGGCAGAUUUCAUGGUUGAGUGUCUUCAUGGUUGAGUAUACUAUCCAUUAGAUGAUGCCAAGAUCAGUCUCGAGCUUGGAUAUGGUUCAACUGCAGUGGAACUUUUGACAAGGUGUCUUGCAAAUUAUGCUUUAUUGUAGAAGUUCUUGUGAUUAUUGGACCAGAUUUUGGGCUGUUUCUGGGCUGAACUGGUGCCUUAAGGUCUCUGCUGGUAUGCUGAGGCUGUUGAGCAGAUCUGCUAUGCUGAUUGAUCUGAGCUGAAAAGGGAGGUUGAUUCUGGGUUGAUCUGGUGCCCUGAAGCCAUGGUUUGCAUAGGUCUGCUCUGCUGCCUAUUGAACAGAGUUGCUAUGCUGCUGAUUGCUGAUAUGUUCAAAUACAGUCUUGGUUUCUGUUGUGUUGUAAUAAUUGCUCAGAUAUGUUUAGGAUAUUCUUGGUAUUAGGACUGAGAUGCAGGUAAAUCUGUCACCAAUAUUUGGAAGGUGGAAGCUGGGCUUUGCAGAUUGGUAGUCUCGCUGAGGUAGGCAGCUGGUCUGUUCUGUCUGUGAAGGUAAUAUGGCUCCAGCGUUGCUCCAUUGGAAUGAUCUGUCUGCUCUGUUGGAAGUUGGAAGCUGGUCUGGCUCCACUGUGGCCCCCUUGGAAUGUAUGUUGUAGAUUGUAAUAGCCUCAUACCUUGUUAUUUUCUUUGAUUUUUUUGUUCUUUUAAUAUUUGGUGAGAGCAAAGUGUAGUUUGAGAUUGAAUUUUUAGUGAUUGUUUUUGCCAAAUCACAGAUUGUACGUACUAUUGCUCUUGUAUACAUGUUAAAUUCUCAAGUUUUCUUCUUAGUUAAAUUCUUUGGCUAUGUUGAA